GCCCACACUGNNNNNGAGACACGGCCCAGACUCCUACGGGAGGCAGCAGUGGGGAAUAUUGCACAAUGGGCGAAAGCCUGAUGCAGCAACGCCGCGUGAGGGAUGACGGCCUUCGGGUUGUAAACCUCUUUUAGCAGGGAAGAAGCGAAAGUGACGGUACCUGCAGAAAAAGCACCGGCUAACUACGUGCCAGCAGCCGCGGUAAUACGUAGGGUGCAAGCGUUAUCCGGAAUUAUUGGGCGUAAAGAGCUCGUAGGCGGUUUGUCGCGUCUGCUGUGAAAUCUGGGGGCUCAACCCCCAGCCUGCAGUGGGUACGGGCAGACUAGAGUGCGGUAGGGGAGAUUGGAAUUCCUGGUGUAGCGGUGGAAUGCGCAGAUAUCAGGAGGAACACCGAUGGCGAAGGCAGAUCUCUGGGCCGUAACUGACGCUGAGGAGCGAAAGGGUGGGGAGCAAACAGGCUUAGAUACCCUGGUAGUCCACCCCGUAAACGUUGGGAACUAGUUGUGGGGUCCAUUCCACGGAUUCCGUGACGCAGCUAACGCAUUAAGUUCCCCGCCUGGGGAGUACGGCCGCAAGGCUAAAACUCAAAGGAAUUGACGGGGACCCGCACAAGCGGCGGAGCAUGCGGAUUAAUUCGAUGCAACGCGAAGAACCUUACCAAGGCUUGACAUAUACGAGAACGGGCCAGAAAUGGUCAACUCUUUGGACACUCGUAAACAGGUGGUGCAUGGUUGUCGUCAGCUCGUGUCGUGAGAUGUUGGGUUAAGUCCCGCAACGAGCGCAACCCUCGUUCUAUGUUGCCAGCACGUAAUGGUGGGAACUCAUGGGAUACUGCCGGGGUCAACUCGGAGGAAGGUGGGGAUGACGUCAAAUCAUCAUGCCCCUUAUGUCUUGGGCUUCACGCAUGCUACAAUGGCCGGUACAAAGGGCUGCAAUACCGUGAGGUGGAGCGAAUNNNNAAAAGCCGGUCCCAGUUCAGAUUGAGGUCUGCAACUCGACCUCAUGAAGUCGGAGUCGCUAGUAA
This 1024-nucleotide ribosomal RNA is filed under the name Microbacterium sp. RNAcentral describes it as "bacterial SSU rRNA". It matches the Rfam family "Bacterial small subunit ribosomal RNA", at positions 306 to 1341 of the family's 1533-position model. The record is from RNAcentral. Lineage: Bacteria; Bacillati; Actinomycetota; Actinomycetes; Micrococcales; Microbacteriaceae.